GCAUAUACACACAAGACGGAAGGAGGGCAGGAUGUCCACGCGGACGUACUGCGUCAUCCCACAUGAGGCGCGCCAAGACACCUCCUUCUUCCAGGGCGUCUUCGAGGAUGGGGUUCGGGUGCUCUACCGCGGCCGCCUACAGUCACUCGUCUUCUCUCACGUGCUGAGCCCUGCUCAUGAUUACGUGAAGCACGUCAAUGGCCCGCUUCUAGCUACGCUGCGCGAGGGUGGCAAUGCUACUCUCGUGCUUGCGACGCCGAACUCCGAAGAUGUGGUACUGCCCCCUAAGCCGAUGGCGUCGGGUGUGAACGGCACCGCAUCGCAGGUCCAGGCUGAUGCGCGAACGCCUGUCGCACGCGUACCUUCAUCGUCAACGUCGUCUCAGAGGCCAAACGCGGGGUUGGCGGAGGCCACGGCAGUGGCAAUGGAGCUAUACGCGCAUCUCUUUCCCUUGCUAUUUCGGAAUCUCGAGGGCUGCUCAGCAGCCCGGCUCUCUGCGGUGACGGUUUCCGCGUCGGAGCGGGUGCUGCUGGACGGCCUCCGCGAAGAUCGUCGCAUCCGCACCCUGGAGGAGGCGCACAAGGCGACCGUGACGCGCAGCGCCUCGGCAACGGAGUGGGGCACGAUCUUGCAGCUCCUCGAAGACCGCCACGUCGCGCUGGAGGAGUCUCCGACAUCGCUCGAGGGGCAGACGGCCUGUGUGGUGACGGUGGAGCUGCAGGGCUAUGGUCGACUGGUUGUUGUCGACGCGGCCAGCGCGCAGGAGCUGCUGCAGCAACUCACGCUCAUUCUCCACAUGCGGGCGGACGGUGCGGCUCGCACCUACCCUCCACACACUCCCCUCCGCGACCUUUUAGAAAGGAGUGUGGCACCGCAGGCAACGGUGCAGGUGCUUUGUGUGCCAGCACCGCAAUACACGGUGCGACAAACGAUGCGCGUUCUUUACUUUGCCGCCACAGUGGAGGUGGCGCAGAGCAGCGGGGCUGCUGCUGCUGCUGCUGCUGCUGCUGCGACGGACGCAUCAGUGUCAACGACAUCCUGUUCUAGGCCGCCGCGCAAUCGAGCGGCGUCAUUGUCGUCUGCACCGUCGAAGCUCUUCUCGAGACCAGCAACGUCCCCGACUCCUUCGGCUGUGGAGGCGAGCCCCACCCACGACAGCGUCGCAGACUCCAGUUCCCGGCGUGUUAGGGAGCUGGCUGCCGUGCGUCCAGACGUAGAAGAAACAUGCAGGAGCUGCAGCAGCUGUAGUGCCACUAGUGGCUUUCGAGAGCGGACGCCGGCUCAGUUACCGGUGCCGAGUGUGCAGCUCGAUCGAGACCUUCAGCGAGCGCGAGAACAGCACCUACUCAAGCGCCUUGUGUUUAUCGAAGAGCAGCUGCGAAGCUCGGAGGAGCAAGGCCGUCGCGCACAGGCUGCCCGCGAUCAAGCACUCCAAGAGCGCAACGAUUUGAAGCGCGAGCUUCGCGGCAAGACAGGCCUCUGGACGGACCUGCAGCGUGCCCAUCAAGCAACCAAGAAGGAGAACGCCGACUACGCGCAACUGGUCGAGCGGCUCGUGCGGCAGGUCCGUACGCUGGAGCGGGAGGCAGCGCGGCAGAAGCGGCAGGACGCCGCGGUGGUGAAGCAGUUGCGGCAGGCAGAGACGGAGAAGGAAGAGCUGACGGUGCAGCUGACGCAGCUUCGCAGAGAGGUGCUGCUCUUCCGAAAGGAUGCCACCCGACGCGCACGGGAGGCGACACUCUCGCGUAUCUUGCCGAGCGAGACGUCUGUGCCGGUGCCUGGAGCUGCAGCGGAGCGGCAGCCUUCGCAGUCCCGACACGCGCGCCGGCCGGCACCUCCAUCAGUCUCUUUCAUGUCUACGAGUGAUGUGGGACGCCACUCCCCUCGUGCGCGGCGCAUCGAUGACCGCAUCACGGAUAUGGAGGGCUCGUUAGGCAAAAAGAACGGUGAUGUCCCCUCUCUCACACAGAAGCAGCAAGACCGCAUAGCGGCGAUCACAGUGGACGAGCUUCGCUGGCGAAACCGCCAGCUGAUGCAGGAGGUGGAUCGACUGCAGGAGCGCCUGCUGGCGGCUCUCACGGCAACGGCGAAGCGAGGAACGACUGAGAGUGCCGCAACUGGAUCAAUGGCUGAUCAUCGCCGAGAUGGAGGUUGCCCCACGUGCGAUGUCAUGCAGGAGCGUAUAGAGCAGUUUCAAGCGGAGCUGGCUCACGUUUGUGAGGAAAAAGAUGCGGUGCUGCGCCUCAUGACCAAGUCUUCUCCCUUCCUCCGGCCUCGCGAUACAAAGCCCACCAUUGCUGCAAACCUGCCGCGGAGCUGUGGGAGCACGCCGCGUUCACAUUCACGGCCUUCCGAGAUGAGAUGUGGCGGUAGUGAAGACGAUGGUGACGCCACGGGUAUUCGCAGCGCGUCCCAGCCGGCGAAGGCGACUCCCACAGACUGCACUCAACGCGUUGCUGCUUCUCUACUCGCUGGCUGCGCGUCUCUGGAUGCCCAGCUUGCGUGUGCACAGAGGGCACUGCUACGUAGGCUGCGCGGCGGCGCCUCCGCAAGCGCGCCGGCCAGCAGUGAGCUGCUUGACCCUCUCUCACAGCUCUCGCCCGUCAUUCUUCAAGAACACAAAGAGGCUGUGGCUGCCCUUGCAGACUCGCUUCGGCAGAUUGCCGAGAAACCGGCUUCUCGUGUGGCUGCCACACGUUCCGCCGCCUUUCCCGCAUCUUCGCGAGACGCUUCAGCAACGACGCGGACGUUGUUGCCACCCGUCCCCCGCUGCGCCACCGCGGCGGACGCCGACACGCUGACGAACUACCUUUCCUUUGAGGUGGAGCGUUGCCAGCACCUGCGUGCCUUCAUCCCGACCUUUGCGCAGUUGGCGGUUGCGACGGAGCACCUCGCCAUGCGUCUUGAGGCGACCGACGCCAACACGAGCUGAGGGAGGGAGGGCAAGGGUCGGGUCAAGAGGGAGAGGGGGGUAGCUCGCGGGCAUCAGGGAAGGCAAUGCGAUACUCCGGUCGCUUUAUCUCAGAUACUCGUGCCUUGAGUUUUGGGGCGUAUCAUUCAUGUGAGUUUCUCGCCUCUUUAGGCGCUCUCUCGUGUUGUGCGGAGGUGCUGCGGCGUUUUGUGCCCUCUCGUUGUGCUCCCUGUGAUGUGCGCGCUGUCACGAGAUGGUGCUCAUACCCACUCUCUCCCCGUAAACUGUUUCUUAUCGUUCACCACUGCACCAAGGUAGACUGUAUAGAUGCCUAGACCUGCACGUUUGUGCCAACGUGUGCACAUAUAUAUAUAUAUAUAUGUAUAUAUGCACAGGUGUGUGUGUGUGCGCGCUCAUGUGCUCAGAUGCGUUCCGCUUCGGGGUGGGCACGGGGGCCGGGACAGGCGAAGGCGUUGCGUGAGGAGGAUAAGGGAGAUCGCUAAGAGCGGCCGUCUCUCUGUGUCGCUUUGCUUCCCUGCCAGACCGACGAGCAACGGCGGACCUCUCCCCUCCCCCUCCCCACCCACGGCUGAUCGUUGCCACACAGACGCAAGGCACCCACGAGUAAUAUGGCAUACACACACAAGUAUGGCAUACGCGCGCACCACCACCACAGCAUCACCAUCAAGCGAAUCAACAUACCCAGCCACCCAUGCACAAUUGCUUACUUAACUUUGCGAAUUGCGUACCACGCCGGCUUAUGCCGGCUGCUGCAAGUGAGGGCUUCGGCGUCUUGAGGACGUGCGGCAACCCGUUGGGCACGAACGAGAUACGGAGGGAGAGAGACCAUGGACGAGUGGGCGAAGGGGGAGGGGAGGGUGCGACGCGCUCCGUUUUACGAAUGCGCCACGUGCGUUUG
Molecule: unclassified non-coding RNA, 3830 nt
Filed under: Leishmania donovani
Lineage: Eukaryota; Euglenozoa; Kinetoplastea; Trypanosomatida; Trypanosomatidae
Description: gene:LdHU3.32.2770(CDS-product:hypothetical_prote in_conserved)
Source: RNAcentral